AGCCAAAGGGGUCUGUGUGUGGCCGGGGAGGAUGGCGGGGGAGUGAGCCCCAUGGAACAGCCAGGAACUGAUAAAAGAUGAGGGGACAAAGACAGUGUGUGUCUGGGAAGCUGGGCUGAGAGGAGGAGGUGCCGCCGCCUGGGGGUACUCCGAUGCUUCCGGGGAUUCCGAGCCAGCUGGAGGACCGCACGUGGCGAACGGCGGGCGCGGCGCGUAGUCAGGGAACCAGGGUGCCUGACUGGGUGUCUCGUGGAGCCAUCCCGCGGGGGUGUGGGGGGGCCACGGUGCCGGAAGGCGCGCGGCCCAGAGGCCGUCUCCGCCGAACGCCCGCUCCUCGCCUUCCUAACCGCAGCACUUUCGCGAGCCUCCCUACGAGGGGCGGGGCGAAACAGGUGCGGUUGCCACGGCACCCGGACCACAGCCUCGCGAGAUUUGGAAUCAGCCAAUGGGGGCGGGGUAGGGGAAGACGUGGCACCAGUCGGAGGGGCGGGGCUGGGAGGGGCUCCUCCCUACCGCCCCCAAUUCCGCCCUGCCCCCGCCGCGGCGGCGCUAGCCGCCACUGAGGGACCGACCCUAUAAAGGCCGCUC
Molecule: long non-coding RNA, 588 nt
Filed under: Homo sapiens (human)
Lineage: Eukaryota; Metazoa; Chordata; Mammalia; Primates; Hominidae
Description: non-protein coding lnc-ATG2A-3:1
Source: RNAcentral